RNAcentral lists this long non-coding RNA (456 nucleotides) under Elaeis guineensis (African oil palm). RNAcentral describes it as "long non-coding RNA (EGUI_LNC075320)". Lineage: Eukaryota; Viridiplantae; Streptophyta; Magnoliopsida; Arecales; Arecaceae. The record is from RNAcentral.
AAUGAACUUAUAAGUAAAUUUUAAAUUUUUAGCAAAUUUUAAAUUUAUCUUCAAACUGCUUAUGAUGUAUUUCGUUCAAAUACUUGGCUAUAAUAUUUAAGUGAUGUAUCUUCAUAAAUUUGAAAUUCAUGUUCAAUACUUUAUAUAUGCUUUUGCUCAAGUGUUUUGUCAUCAUCAAAAAGGGGGAGAUUGUUGCUCUUUUAAUUGAUUUUGAUGAUUACAAAGCAUUUGAAGGGAUUACUAAUAAUUUUGGCUUGAAAAAAAAUUUAUUGUAUUUCAAGAGCAAAAUCAAAAUUUUAUCAGACCUGAUUCGGAAGCCUCAAGAGCAAGAACAAAAGAUAUGUAAUCUAUUGGAGGUAAUUUUAAUAUUUUUGAAAGUAUAUUUUAUAAAAAAAUUAGAUUUAUAUUUUUGAGUUGACCCCAUGAGUCGACUCAUGGCUAAAAGGGCUGAAUGAC